Molecule: long non-coding RNA, 659 nt
Organism: Meriones unguiculatus (Mongolian gerbil)
Lineage: Eukaryota; Metazoa; Chordata; Mammalia; Rodentia; Muridae
Exons: 3
Source: RefSeq, a predicted model, not a curated record
UAGGCCAAAAAUCGGGUUGAAUUCCCUGGAGCUGAAGUUGCAGUUGAUAAUGAGUCACCAAUGUGGGUGCUGGAAACUGAACUCCUGUCCUUCAGAAGAGCAGCAGUCAUUUUAUAGAGCCUGAAUUUGUAAUCAACACUGGUUAGUCACGUUGGACCUAACCACUGGCUGUGGUUGCAGCAACACGUCCUCUGACCUCUUAUCCUCCACCAGAUCUCCAUCUGCAGCCCCUGACAAGGUUCCCUCCAUCCCAUCCCACCCCCUGGAUCUCUAGUAUCCCAGGAUGGCCUUGAAUGGACGAUGUUGUUGAAGAUGGCCUUGAAAUCAGAACCCUACUUCCUCCAUUUCUUGAGUGCAGAGAUAACAAAUAUGCAUCUCCGUGCUGAGAAAUGGGACCAUCCCAAAUUAGAAAGAAAAACAACUGGACCUUGAAUAAGGGCCAGCUAAGAAGAAAGAGCAAGUCAGGCAAUUUAGGGGAGGACUGUUCUUGAAGCUGUAAGCGGCCUGCUACAGAACCGAGAGAUGGGAGAAGAGGGGAGGACUGUCCUUGGAGCUGUGAGCUCCCCGCUACAGCUGCCAACCGCAUAACUGCUAUCUUUUCUACUAACUAAUCAAUGUAAAGGCCUGAUUUUUUAGGAAUAAAAACUCUGUGCUUUGUA